GCCCGGAUGGUGGAACUGGUAGACACGCGAGACUUAGAAUCUCGUGCCGCAAGGCGUACAGGUUCGAAUCCUGUUCCGGGCA
Molecule: transfer RNA, 82 nt
Filed under: Deltaproteobacteria bacterium
Lineage: Bacteria; Pseudomonadati; Myxococcota; Myxococcia
Also listed under: 2 other names
Description: tRNA-Leu
Rfam family: tRNA
About the family: Transfer RNA (tRNA) molecules are approximately 80 nucleotides in length. Their secondary structure includes four short double-helical elements and three loops (D, anti-codon, and T loops).
Source: RNAcentral